CGCAGCCUCCACGACACCACCGCAUCGGCUACGCCUUCCCACCGAAGAAAGAGCAGACCUUCAUCCAACUGUCUCUGAUCGCCCACGCUGGACAAGACGGCAUCAAUCUGGUCCCCGUCGAUGCCUCUAAGGCCCCUUCGACUGCAUCAUCCACAAGCUCUACGACGACAACUGGAAUAAGCAAUUGAAGGAAUGCUCAUCUCUCUAUCCCCGCACCGUCAUCCUCGACCCGCCCGAGUCCAUCGCCCGCCUCCACAACCGGGUCUCAAUGCUCGACGUCAUCAAAGCCGCCUUCAAAGCCCCGCG
Molecule: long non-coding RNA, 306 nt
Filed under: Rosa chinensis
Lineage: Eukaryota; Viridiplantae; Streptophyta; Magnoliopsida; Rosales; Rosaceae
Description: sRNA RchiOBHm_Chr2g0128911
Source: RNAcentral